UUCCUCGGGAUCCAGGGGCUCUUCUUUGACAUGUACAGGAUGCCUGGAAAGACAAAAGAAGGUUCACCGUGGGGACUUCCCAAUGCAAGCAUCAAGAUCCAGGACCGGAUGCAUAAUUUGCAGAGCCCAGUGCAGAGUGAACAUGUGUCUGAAAAAGUCGUUGAGGAUUUCAAGACGGAAACAGCUGAGCUUAUUAAAACUUUUAAGUGUGGGAUCCUGCGUGACUCCAUACAUCGAGUUGCCUGGGAAGUCGGCUCCGGAUAAAUUUCUAGGAAUAAAAUUGUUGGAGCAGAGGCGAAAACGUCUUACGGUUCUUAUGAUUCAGUGUGAUAUUAACUGCCAAAGAAGCUUUAUCAAUUUAGACUCAACCUCAUCAGCACCAAGCACUGCUUUCUAAGAACAUCGUGCUGCUGAGCAGACUCGGACAAAUGUUUUGCCCGGCAGAACAAAACACAAUCCCGCCACCCC
Kogia breviceps (pygmy sperm whale) is the source of this 468-nucleotide non-coding RNA. The record is from RefSeq and is a predicted model, not a curated record. Lineage: Eukaryota; Metazoa; Chordata; Mammalia; Artiodactyla; Physeteridae.